Molecule: long non-coding RNA, 356 nt
Organism: Homarus americanus (American lobster)
Lineage: Eukaryota; Metazoa; Arthropoda; Malacostraca; Decapoda; Nephropidae
Exons: 2
Source: RefSeq, a predicted model, not a curated record
AAUCCUCUGGAGAGUGGGUCCAGGACUUACACCUGCAAACUUCCUGUUUCUUGGGUUGAGAAAAGAUGUAUACUACUCCCACGAGGAAAGAACGGCUAUCUUUGAUUAUAUCGUCAAAACGAAGAGGUUCGGAGAGGUUAAAGGCACAGUGUUUGGCUGGAUAUGGCCGAGGCCCAGGUAAUACUACACCUCUUACUGCAGUACCUGUUCCUGUUAUAGCACAUGAACCAUCAUGUUUAUUAAUACUCUACUUGUUUUAUGCAUGCAUACAUACAGUCAGCCCUUAACAUACGCGGGGGUUAGGUAAGAGAGAUACCCAUGAAUGUUAAAAAUCCGUGUACUUUUGCCUCCCCCCC